This 383-nucleotide ribosomal RNA is filed under the name uncultured bacterium. Its description in RNAcentral is "bacterial SSU rRNA". It matches the Rfam family "Bacterial small subunit ribosomal RNA", at positions 30 to 412 of the family's 1533-position model. The record is from RNAcentral.
AUUGAACGCUGGCGGCAUGCUUUACACAUGCAAGUCGAACGGUAACAGGGAGCUUGCUCCGCUGACGAGUGGCGAACGGGUGAGUAAUGCAUCGGAACAUGCCCAGUCAUGGGGGGAUAACUACGCGAAAGCGUAGCUAAUACCGCAUACGCCCUGAGGGGGAAAGUGGGGGAUCUUAGGACCUCACGUGAUUGGAGUGGCCGAUGUCAGAUUAGCUAGUUGGUGAGGUAAAGGCUCACCAAGGCGACGAUCUGUAGCGGGUCUGAGAGGAUGAUCCGCCACACUGGGACUGAGACACGGCCCAGACUCCUACGGGAGGCAGCAGUGGGGAAUUUUGGACAAUGGGCGCAAGCCUGAUCCAGCCAUGCCGCGUGAGUGAAGAA